RNAcentral lists this ribosomal RNA (243 nucleotides) under uncultured bacterium. RNAcentral's name for it is "partial 16S ribosomal RNA". It matches the Rfam family "Bacterial small subunit ribosomal RNA", at positions 534 to 776 of the family's 1533-position model. The record is from RNAcentral.
GCUAGCGUUGUUCGGAAUCACUGGGCGUAAAGGGCGCGUAGGCGGCCGAUCAAGUCGGGGGUGAAAGCCUGUGGCUCAACCACAGAAUUGCCUUCGAUACUGUUUGGCUUGAGACCGGAAGAGGUUAGUGGAACUGCGAGUGUAGAGGUGAAAUUCGUAGAUAUUCGCAAGAACACCAGUGGCGAAGGCGGCUCACUGGUCCGGUACUGACGCUGAUGUGCGAAAGCGUGGGGAGCAAACAGG